CAUUCUUUGUGAAUUUAUAAUUUCAGAUUACACAUACAUAAUGUUUCUGUGGCUUUUAGCCGGAUUUUUUGUUCUUUUGUGGAUUUAUUUAAGAAGAAACUAUGGAAAACUUGAAAAGUGUGGUAUACCUGUUAUCCCUCCUUUCCUGUGUUUUGGGAGUGGACCAUGGGCACUGCAUAAAUAUCAACUAGCAGAGUUGGAUGAGAAGAGAGUUGCCAAGUAUGGGAAAGUGUUUGGAGCAUAUAUUCUAAGCCAGCCUAUGGUGUAUGUAGCAGACGCUGAUAUUAUCAAGCAAAUUACUACAAAGGAUUUUGAAAGCUUUCAUGGCCAUCUUUUCAAAUUUGGAGACCAAAAGUUUCGCACCCUGGAUAUUGCGGAUGGGGAGGAAUGGAGAGAACUGAGAAAAGGUAUGUCACCCAUCUUCACAUCUGGAAAGAUCAAAGGCAUGUUGCAGUACGUGAACUGCACAUUGGAUAACAUGAUGGAGCACCUGGAGAAGAGAGUGAAGGAGGACCCAGUUAUAGACCUGAAACCUGUGUUCCAAAAGAUGACAAUGGAUGUGAUUGGAAAAUGUGCAUUUGGAAUAGAAAUUAACUGUUUUGAAGGAAACACUGAUCUGCUGCGACUAGGAAAUGGAGUCUUAGAAGGAUUCAAAGUCAAAAAUGCAAUGGAUGCUUUCUUCAUGAAUAUCUUUUUGGGAUUAUCCGGCAUAGAAAACUAUCUAGAUAUGGUUCCUCCAGAAAUGAAAGAAUUGUGGAAAAUAUUCAAAAAUAUUGAAAAUGGAAGAAAAGUACCUAAUGGGGAUUUUAUUGAUAAAAUGGCAGAAAUGAAAAAGCAAGUUCAGAAUGGCGAAUUAAAACAUCUAAGCGAAGAUCAAAUUACAAGUCAAUCCAUAAUUUUUCUUAUUGCUGGAUAUGAAACUACAGCAAGUACUCUUGGAGCGUUGUGCUAUCAACUUGUGAAAAACACUGAGGUUCUAGAAAAGCUAGUUGCUGAGAUUGAUCAAGUUCUGGAGGAGUUUGAUGGAAAGCUUGAUCAUGAAACUGUUGCUGAGAUGCCAUACCUGGAGGCCUGUGUAAAGGAAACACUCAGGUUUUCUUCUCCAGUAUCAAGAAAUGACAGAAUUUGCAACAAAGACUUUGAAUACAAGGGUAUAAAAAUACCAAAGGGUACAGGUAUUGGAAUAUGCGCUCAAGUUGUACACUUUGACCCAGAGUACUGGCCUGAACCCUACAUGUUUAAACCAGAACGGUUUCUCAAAGAGAAUGCUGGUAGCAUAGUUCCUUGUUCAUGGCUGCCCUUUGGAUCUGGUCCCAGAGCAUGCAUUGGAGAGAGAUUUGCUAUGAUUGAGAUAAAAAUGGGAACUGUUCGACUUCUUUCCAAAUAUAAGAUAGAAAUAGACUCUAAAACAAGGUAUCACGUUGAUAAAGGAGAGGUUUUCUUGGCUCUCUACACAGACAUGUUCCUCAAAUUAACAGAACGUUAAUUUCCUCAUAAAUGGCACUUUCAAACAUGUUUUGUUCUUCACAAUUAGUUUUAAAAUGAUUCAUGACUUCUACAGGGGUAAUUCAAUAUCUGAAAAACUGUAUGAUUUUAAGAUCCUAUGAUUUAGUUAUUCUUUUUUGAACAAUGUGUUUAAAAAAUCCCAACUCUUUUGAUUGUAAUUUCAAGAGAUAAUUGAGGUAAUUUAAAAAAAACGUAACUUUUGGAACAAGGCCCAAAUUUCACUAAGAAUAUUCCUUUGGUAAAAUAACAGAGUCGAUGGCAAUACUCAAUUGGUCUCUGAUCAUUGGCUGAAAAUACUGCUUGCUUCUUAUUGGUUGAAGAAAAGCAUCCCGCCAAGGAGAAUGGACCAUUUACAUGAACCCCAUUCAUGACUUGUAAAAAAUACCCUAAUAUUAAAAGAAAAUAUAUGAAAAAUGGGA
Molecule: unclassified non-coding RNA, 1925 nt
Filed under: Eurytemora carolleeae
Lineage: Eukaryota; Metazoa; Arthropoda; Copepoda; Calanoida; Temoridae
Description: cytochrome P450 3A24
Source: RNAcentral